CUUGAAUCUCCAUUAGUUUCUUGCACCAGCUAGCAUUAAAAUACUUCAAGUUUCUCAAGUUGGAGAGAUCUGGUAAUCUUUUCAUAGACCGGCACCCCAUAAAAUCCAAGGUCUCCAAGGAGUCCAAUCGAUCGAGGCCUUGAAUCUCCGUUAGUUUCUCGCACCCGCUAGCUUCUAAACACUUCAAGUUUCUCAACUGGAUAGUUUCCCAAUUUUCCUUAAUGAUUUACAAUUUUCCAUCAUCAACAGCUCCAGGGAGUCCAGUCCCUCAAGGCCCUCAAUCUCAGAUAACAUUGAAUAAUCCUUGAGUCUUAAUUCCUUCAUUUUCUCAAGCCGGAUAUUUUCCCAAUUUUUCUUAAUGAUCUGCAGUUCUUCAUCAUAAACAGCUCUAGGGAGUCCAACCUUUCGAUGCCUUCAAUCUCUGCUAAGCUCUGACAAUUAUCAAGAUUUAAUCUCUUUAAAUUUCUCAACCCUACCAAU
This is a long non-coding RNA of Telopea speciosissima, 480 nucleotides long. RefSeq lists it as uncharacterized. NCBI's taxonomy places the organism in Eukaryota, Viridiplantae, Streptophyta, Magnoliopsida, Proteales, Proteaceae. The record is from RefSeq and is a predicted model, not a curated record. The transcript has 3 exons.